GCCGGAGCGGUGGGACUCCUCCUUGGCGGUGGGUGCCGCGAGGGCGCCCGCCCCUCGAGAGCCCUGAGUGAAGACGCCGGGAGGAGCGCCCGACCGCGGCGACGCAGGUUGAUAUCAAAAUUGGAAGUUUUCUAGUUAUUAGAAAUUGAAAGUAUGGCAGCAGAAUUUAUAAAGAGUUGUUGUAGAGGAUGUCUCUAUGGCGAAACAGAAAAGCAGAAGUUUUCUGUGGACAGAGACUUUAAAGCAACAGCCUCAAAUAGCCAAAAUACCAUUGGUAUACCUCCAUUGACUUCUGUUUUAGUAAAGCCUCAAGUUGGCUGUAAUGAAGAUUAUUUGCUUUCCAAAUUACCAUGUGAUGGUAAAGAAGUACAAUUUGUGGUGCCCAGGUUUAAAUUAUCUUAUAUUCAACCUAGGACACAAGGAAUUCCUUCACAUCUGGAUGAACUGGAAGGU
Non-coding RNA from Mus caroli (Ryukyu mouse), 453 nucleotides. NCBI's taxonomy places the organism in Eukaryota, Metazoa, Chordata, Mammalia, Rodentia, Muridae. The record is from RefSeq and is a predicted model, not a curated record.